CCAGAUUCUAUCGUCUGGGAAGUGACAUACUGCUCAGUCAACACGUGAGCGUAUCAUACCCUUAGGACAGAAAUAACCCUGAGAAGCUGGAGAUAUAUUCGAUAGAUGUGAUGUCUCGGAAUGGUAUCACGCCCAAAGGUGAUAACAGCAUGUUGUUAUCAUGCCUCAAGGAUGAGUCUGCGGCCGAUCAGGCUGUUGGUGAGGUAACGGCUCACCAAACCUUUGACCGGUACGGGCCAUGAGAGUGGUAGCCCAGAGAUGGGCUCUGAGACAAGAGUCCAGGCCCUACGGGGCGCAGCAGGCGCGAAACCUCCUCAAUGCAGUAAAGUGCGAAGGGGUUACCUCGAGUGCUAUCUGAAGAAGGUGGCUUUUACUUUGUCUAACCAGCUAUGUGAAUAAGAGGGGGGCAAGACUGGUGUCAGCCGCCGCGGUAACACCAGCCCCUCGAGUGGUGGGGAUGAUUAUUUGGCCUAAAGCGUCCGUAGCCGGCCAUGUAGGUCUCCCGUUAAAUCCAGCGUCUUAAGCGUUGGAAUUCGGGAGAUACUGUAUGGCUAGAGGGUGGGAGAGGUCAGCGGUAUUCUGGGGGUAGGGGCGAAAUCCUUUGAUCCCCGGAGGACCACCAGUGGCGAAGGCUUCUGACUAGAACACGCCUGACGGUCAGGGACGAAAGCUGGGGUAGCGAACCGGAUUAGAUACCCGGGUAGUCCCAGCCGUAAACGAUGCAUGCUAGGUGUUGGGUCGCCCAUGAGCCGCUCCAGUGCCGCAGGGAAGCCGUUAAGCAUGCCGCCUGGGGAGUACGGCCGCAAGGAUGAAACUUAAAGGAAUUGGCGGGGGAGCACAGCCAGGGGUGGAGCGUGCGGUUUAAUUGGAUUCAACGCCGGA
Molecule: ribosomal RNA, 882 nt
Filed under: uncultured archaeon
Lineage: Archaea
Description: bacterial SSU rRNA
Rfam family: Archaeal small subunit ribosomal RNA
Source: RNAcentral